AACAAGGGCAAGAAGGAAGUGGGCCCCUUCUCUCUUCCUCCAGAGUCACCAUGUGAGCCCAGGAAGACAGGACACUUGUCGCUGGGGUCCAAUAAGGGAAGAGUUUGCCAUACUUGAGGCGGCAUGACCCACAUUGCAGGCAGUCCUACCCAGCUGGAUUGGCAUAGCUGUGAGGAGGUCCUGGCCACUGACAGUAGCAGAAGCUUAGGCUUCCUUUUCCAUUUAUGCCACCCUCAUUCCACAGAAGGGCACUGAGUGGAAGAUGGUUGAAACUGUCUUGUGCUGCUGAUCAGAAGAUAAAGAGAAGGAGCCAACACUGUUCUCUCAUGCAGCUGACGACUUUGAGGAGCAGAGAUGCAGACAGAGCUGAGCGGAACACAGGGCUGUGGAUGAAGCUAUUUCCUGGACCUCCCUCCUCUGUUCUUCUCUGCCAGGCUGAGUCGCUAGAUCCCACUUUGUGUGAGCAGACUCAAGUUGUAUUCAUCUGGAGAUUGUGUUAUUUUGAGGAGUGUCCCAUUAUGAAGCCCAGCUCCAGUACUUACCUCUCAGGCUUGCAGAUGUUGAGACUGCCGAUAUGCAUAACCAUGUCUGGCUCAUAACCACAUCCACCCUUCACCUGGACUCCCUUUCCACCUCAGGAAAACAGGAAUCUGGAGUUCAAGGAUCACCUGCAAGGAAAUGACACAAAGGGCACACCUCUUGGUAUGUUAAUGCCAUUGUUAAAGCUGUUUUGAAAAAGAAGAAAUCCACCCUUUGCUCUGUAUUUCGUGUCUGAGCCAUGAGAAGAGACAGCAACCCACAAUUCAAUAUAAGAAUAGCAGUUAAAAGAAAAGGACAGGGAACUGAUACACAGGUCUCAUGAUGGUUUCCACAAUUUAGAAUACUCUGGAAUUAGGAGUUCUAGUGUGCUUUCUAGUCCAUUGUUCUUACACUAAAAAUAAAUCAAUGGUUGUGAGUGUGUAUUUUAUUGUUAUCAGGCUGGUUUGCCCUAAAAUGAGAUGCUUGCUCUUCUUAUAUUUGAUUCAGACCUUACUAAAAUUACAAAGUUUGGCCAGGCACUCUGAAAACAGAGGCAGGCAUAUCUCAGAGCACAAAGUCAGUCUGGUCCACAGAGUGAGUUCCAGGACAGCCAGGGCUAUGAAGAGAGUUUGUUUCUCAAAAUAAACAAAUAAAAAAAUGACAAAGUCUUCCCAAAGGAAUAAAUGAACAUCAAAUCCUAAAAAAAACUAACCAACCAAACAAACAAAAAACUAUAUCAAAAUGUUAACUGUAAGAGGAAAGGGUUAACUAAAGCCUGGAUUCUGUCGACAUAAUUAAAGGUAAUGCAUUUCAAAAUGUCCAUAAAAUGGGAACACAUCAGUUCAAUUCUUAUCAGUAAUUUUUACACAUAUGCACUUCUGAGUUUUCAACUGACCUAUAUUAAUUUAUGGAGCUAAUAAGAAAUUGGAUUUUCAGAAAUUAAUAUACUUUCCUUCCAUGAAGCACCAACUCGUACAAAGAUUCACAACAUGGGUUUUCCCCAUUAUUUGCACUUGUUCCUGUGUCAGGGAAGACUCUCAACUUCUGGCCACUGUUAUCAUCGAUACUGUUGGCUUCCACAUCACCCCUGAACAUUGAGAUAAUUUUGCAAAUACUGUUUAUCCUCUUUAUUUUUUUUAAAUUUGCUUUUGGGAUAGAACCUUGCUACAUAGUUCUGCCCAGUCUGAACUAUGUAUGCAUGUACUUCUGCCUGGCUUCAAACUCACUAUAAUCCUCUUUUCUCUAUCUACAAAAUACGAAGAUGUCAGGUAUAAGCAAGGACUCCCAGAUACCUAAGCUCUUCAAUGCUAACACUCUCCCUCUACUAAACCUCUUAACACCCCUCUCCUUGUACUCAGCUAUCCAGUGGCCUUUGUGCUCCUGUUACUCUCUAGCUCUAAAGCUUGUACAUGCUUUUCCCUCUUCUACCCUACACACCUUGAACAUCUUAGAUACACAAAAACCUUACAUGUCUACCCAUGACUUCGUGUCCAAUAUGACAAAUAGAUGCUUGCUCAGCUUGAGUUGGCUAACACUCCUCAUCAAACAUCAUUUUAUCAAGUGUCUCCCACAAUGCAAUUAAAAGAAAGAAUUUUCAGAGACAAGCUUUCUUUUGAUUUGCUCUACUUAGCACAUGAUGGUAAAGAGGCCGUCAAAUACUUAAUAUUUAGUAUUUGCUAUUGAGUUUGCAAUGUAAUGCUUUAAUGGACAGUGAAACCAUGCAGUCAGAUUUCUUUUAAAAAAUUCAGAAAACUUUCUUAAAAGAACUUGAAUAGAAUUCUUAAAGAGAGUAGUAUAUGUUGUUUGAAUAAAGAGAAAAUGUAUAGUUUUGUGUGUUUAUGAUUCCUUUGCUUGGUGAGCACAGGAAAGAGGUAUCACCUCAUAUCACUAUAACAAAAGUUUUUAUCAACUAAAUGUAGAGGCAGAGCCACAUUCUAAAUGCAGAGAAGUGACAAUGGUCAUGAUGGUGAAAAGUCAGAUUAUGUAGGCUUCUGGUCCAGUUCUGCCACAAUUGAGCUGAAGAUCUAAGUAUUGUAUUUAACCUCCCUGUGCUGAAAUGCCCUGAUCUGUAUGGAUAAUAUCUGUACUGUGAUCUGUACAAAUAAUAUUUUUGUUGUUAUGAAUAGUGUAAGCAGCAAAAUUGUAAAGGUCUUCAAAAACCAUGUAGCCUAUGUAUGUGAUAAAUAAAAUUUCAUAUUGUCUGAGUUACACCAAAAUUUUGA
RNAcentral lists this long non-coding RNA (2741 nucleotides) under Cricetulus griseus (Chinese hamster). RNAcentral describes it as "lncRNA (ENSCGRG00000024982.1)". The record is from RNAcentral. Lineage: Eukaryota; Metazoa; Chordata; Mammalia; Rodentia; Cricetidae.